This 305-nucleotide ribosomal RNA is filed under the name uncultured bacterium. RNAcentral's name for it is "bacterial SSU rRNA". It matches the Rfam family "Bacterial small subunit ribosomal RNA", at positions 334 to 655 of the family's 1533-position model. The record is from RNAcentral.
GUCGGCCUACGGGGGGCAGCAGUGGGGAAUAUUGCACAAUGGGGGAAACCCUGAUGCAGCAACGCCGCGUGAGUGAAGAAGUAUUUCGGUAUGUAAAGCUCUAUCAGCAGGGAAGAAAAUGACGGUACCUGAGUAAGAAGCCCCGGCUAACUACGUGCCAGCAGCCGCGGUAAUACGUAGGGGGCAAGCGUUAUCCGGAUUUACUGGGUGUAAAGGGAGCGUAGACGGCGAAGAAAGUCUGAAGUGAAAGCCCGCGGCUCAACCGCGGAACUGCUUUGGAAACUUUUUUGCUGGAGUACCGGAGG